Molecule: ribosomal RNA, 513 nt
Filed under: uncultured bacterium
Lineage: Bacteria
Description: partial 16S ribosomal RNA
Rfam family: Bacterial small subunit ribosomal RNA
Source: RNAcentral
GACGAACGCUGGCGGCGUGCCUAAUACAUGCAAGUAGAACGCUGACUACUUUAGCUUGCUAGAGUAGAAGGAGUUGCGAACGGGUGAGUAACGCGUAGGUAACCUGCCUACUAGCGGGGGAUAACUAUUGGAAACGAUAGCUAAUACCGCAUAACAGUGUUUAACACAUGUUAGAUGCUUGAAAGAUGCAAUUGCAUCACUAGUAGAUGGACCUGCGUUGUAUUAGCUAGUUGGUGGGGUAACGGCCCACCAAGGCGACGAUACAUAGCCGACCUGAGAGGGUGAUCGGCCACACUGGGACUGAGACACGGCCCAGACUCCUACGGGAGGAAGCAGUAGGGAAUCUUCGGCAAUGGGAGCAACCCUGACCGAGCAACGCCGCGUGAGUGAAGAAGGUUUUCGGAUCGUAAAGCUCUGUUGUAAGAGAAGAACGUGUGUGAGAGUGGAAAGUUCACACAGUGACGGUAACUUACCAGAAAGGGACGGCUAACUACGUGCCAGCCGCCGCGGUAA